This 653-nucleotide long non-coding RNA is filed under the name Homo sapiens (human). Its description in RNAcentral is "HSALNT0029311". The record is from RNAcentral. Lineage: Eukaryota; Metazoa; Chordata; Mammalia; Primates; Hominidae.
CAAAUGCUCUGGGGACCUAGGAGGACACACAGAGAGGGAGGUAGUCCAGCACCCCCAUCAGCUCAUCCACGCCGCCCGCCGCAAGCCCAUUCUGUGAGAGGAGAACCGUGCUAAGUGAGGGUGCCUGCAGGAGGACCACGAGGUGAGGCCACCCAGACUCACAACAGGCCCAUCCCUGCCAGGCAAGACCACAGGCAAAGGCACCAUCUAGACCUGGCAUUCCACAAAGGAGGACAGAAUUCCCAGAGCUUCCUAGUUUUGUCUUCAUUUUGUUCUUCUAUUUUCUCCCCAACCCAUCAUCCACCUGGGAAAAACCAAACUCCCCACAGGUGAAAAGUUCCAUCAGGAAAGGGCAAACUCAAAGUCAGAGCAAGAUCAGAAAUACCUGGUGUGAUUCUGAAGCUCACACUGAGGGACAGGAGACUUACUCCCAAAGACUUGAGGAAUCGCUUUUUCCCAAAGAAAAUCAGGUCCAACAGGGAAAUACAAUUAACCCUGUAUUUAAGGCCCCAGAUGGGCCUCGGAACCUUCAUGUGAUCCUAUUUUAUUAGCUUUUCUCUUGCUGUGUUUGCCCUAAGAUAAGCAUUCCUAGAGAAAGAGUAUGAGUGGGUCCUGCCACCUGAGUAUUUAAAGACAUCUCCCACGCACCCAAC